CCUCUCGAAGAUGAAGAGUUCAUCGCCUACCUCCUGCGCGGACUCGGGAGCGAGUACGACUCCCUGGUGACGAGCAUCAUCGUGCGCACAGAUCCAUACUCCAUCAGUGAUGUCUAUGCUCACAUGUUGAAUUAUGAGA
This is a small nucleolar RNA of Phragmites australis (common reed), 139 nucleotides long. RefSeq annotates it as small nucleolar RNA Z247. The record is from RefSeq and is a predicted model, not a curated record. The transcript has a single exon. NCBI's taxonomy places the organism in Eukaryota, Viridiplantae, Streptophyta, Magnoliopsida, Poales, Poaceae.